CCUUCUUCCAUCCUUGUCUAAAAGAAAAAAACAUUCUUCCAUCCCCACGGCCGGCCGCCCCCUCGCCGCCGGCUGCUGCCAGCGCAGUCCGGCGUCUCGCAGCGGUGGUCACCAGACUCCGGCCCCAUCAUCGCCUCCCUCCUCUGCUCGCCCGCCCCCACUCCACGCCUUCCCUUGCCGCCUGCCGCCUGCCGCCUGCCGCCCGCUCGACUCCCUCCUCUCCUCGCCGCGCCCGCCCACGCCCGCACCCCUCCUCUGUCCUCUCCCUCCCUGAAUGCCACCGCCUCCCGCCCUCCUCCGUGCCAAGCAAGCCUCUUUCGCGCCCCCCACUCUUCCCCCGCCCAGGCAGCCGGACUCUCUCCUGGCCUCCUCCCUCGCCUCCCUCGCCGCGUUCAACUCCCCCCUUGGCCGCGCUCGCCCGCGUCUGUCCGUGACCUCCCUGGCAUGACCCAGCUCUUUUCCUCCAUGCGGGACGCCACCGUCCGGCCCGGCGUUGUCACGCCCGCACACUCGUCAUGGGGCUCUGCCAAGCCGGCCGCGCUCAGGGCGCUCGACGGAAUGCCCGGCCCAAACUCGGGCGUUCGCCCGGCUCGGAUGUCGUCAUUCAUGCCGAACACGGUCGUGGAUGGGGUGUGCGAGAGCGGGAGGAUCCAGGCGGCCGUUGCGUUCAUGGAGGACUGCUGAUUGGCUGACGUUGCGGCCGACGGAUCCUGCCGUGCGGGGAAUGUGACUGCUGCUUGGCUUUCCAGGCGGCGGAGAGGAUGGAGAAGGAGAGCUUUCCUCCACAAUAGAAAUGUGGUUUUGUUCCAUGAGAUGCAGUCAUGCAUUUUACCAUGAUCUUGGGAUUCUUUAGCAGGAGGAAUAGGUCACAACUUACAAGAGGCUUGGUGUACUGUACACCGUGUACACCUACAAUAAUACUUUGCUGUCUGGUUAAGUAGGAGAUUUCUCAACUGUGUAUGAGUUAUUGGGGAAGAUGAUGGAUGAUGGUUGCCUGCAAGUACACGGAUAUUGACCAAGUGGUCUAUGGAUGAAUCUGCAAAUGCAGGGAGUAGCAUAUGAUGGAUGUAAUUUUCUGUUGCAUCAAAAAGCAAGUUAACUCGGCGUAUGCAGUAGCAACUACCAACCAUUCAUACUGGAGCAAAGGUCCAAGUAUAGAUUGGACAAGAAGGGUGAUGCCCUUUUUUUCUGCCAACGCUGGAAGUGAGCCUGCUGCAGAUUGACUUGAUAGGCCUUCCAGAACGCUGAGUGGCCUGAAUAUUUCGGCAGAAGAUAAUCAGGUCCAUAACAAAGAUGCAAGAAGUCUAUCUAAAGCAAUUGCAUCUACAGGUCCAUCACACCAAACCGUUGGAAAGAUUCUAUAAAGUUCAAAUUUACCAUGCAUGUUCAGUGAACAGGUGCAGAAUUGGACAAACAUAAAUAUAGCUAGUGAAUGGUACACGUCUUAAAAGGAAAGGAGACCUCAUCAUCCUCAUCGGCGAGGAUCUUGGAGCAGUUGAAGCAGACGCAGCGCAUGAUGGAGAGCACGGUCUUGAUGAAGCCGAUGUGGAACAUGGGCUUUGCGAGCUCGAGGUGGCCGAAGUGGCCCGGGCAUUCGGCCAUCCCGGCCAUGCAUGUCUCGCACUUGGUCCUCCGGUCAAUGGUGCCCAGACGAGGGUCGCUCAGACCACCGGGCUUGGGCUUCCCCUUCUCCAUGGUCUCUGCAUGCUCUAUCACCGCCACCGACAUUUGCCUCUGCAAGCAAGCAGUUCAACACAGAAUCUGUCAAAUUCGAUUCAUCCUAAAAUUUGUGAUACCUACACAGUACUGACCACCUGCCAUCAUUACAACGGUCAAUGUUCAUUCAAACCCAGCCAAUAAAUUGUUAAACCCUGCCAAAUCCGUCUUAUUACAUGUACUCUGCAAGUAACAACCAGACCUGUGUAGCUUUUAUUCAAACUUGUAUUGAGCAUGGCCCAAUAAAGAGCUAGCAUACUGUAAUAAAAUCAUGUGUAGUGCUGGUACUACACAAAACCGUGCAAACUGCCAAGCUCAGAGUUACCAAAUAACUGACAGCAGUUAAUAAGAACAUUUAUUAGCAUUU
Triticum aestivum (bread wheat) is the source of this 2083-nucleotide long non-coding RNA. RefSeq lists it as uncharacterized. The record is from RefSeq and is a predicted model, not a curated record. The transcript has 5 exons. Lineage: Eukaryota; Viridiplantae; Streptophyta; Magnoliopsida; Poales; Poaceae.